GACGAACGCUGGCGGCGUGCUUAACAUAUGCAAGUCGAGCGGUAAGGCCCUUUCGGGGGUACACGAGCGGCGAACGGGUGAGUAACACGUGGGUGACCUGCCCUCAGCUCUGGGAUAAGCCUGGGAAACUGGGUCUAAUACUGGAUAUGACUCCACGGUGCAUGUCGUGGGGUGGAAAGCCUUGUGCGGCUGAGGAUGGGCCCGCGGCCUAUCAGCUUGUUGGGGGGUGAUGGCCUACCAAGGCGACGACGGGUAGCCGGCCUGAGAGGGCGACCGGCCACACUGGGACUGAGACACGGCCCAGACUCCUACGGGAGGCAGCAGUGGGGAAUCUUGCGCAAUGGGCGAAAGCCUG
This 355-nucleotide ribosomal RNA is filed under the name uncultured bacterium. RNAcentral describes it as "bacterial SSU rRNA". It matches the Rfam family "Bacterial small subunit ribosomal RNA", at positions 28 to 385 of the family's 1533-position model. The record is from RNAcentral.